UCCUGCGCUUGCCUCAUAGGUCUGUGCACCUGGUCCUAUGUAGGAACCUGCUGUCCUCUUAGCUGCUGAAUUCGCAGGAAGCAGGUUGGAGCGCAGACCUGGAGGCCGGAAGAUGUGCCCCUGCUACUUCAGGGCUCAGAAGAAAAAAAUGACAACCUACAGGAUGAGCCCAACCACUGGUCUGGCUAACCAGAGCCGUUCAGAUAAUGCAGAGCUGAGUGGAAGAUGAAAUAAAUGCCUCUUCAGCACCA
Long non-coding RNA from Phascolarctos cinereus (koala), 251 nucleotides. RefSeq lists it as uncharacterized. The record is from RefSeq and is a predicted model, not a curated record. Lineage: Eukaryota; Metazoa; Chordata; Mammalia; Diprotodontia; Phascolarctidae.